CACUCCAGCCUGGGCAACAGAGCAAGACUCCGUCUCAAAAAAAAAAAACAACAACAUACAAAAAUGCCUUUGGGAUUCAGCGUAAUCUGCAGGUUAUAAAAGCAACUGCAAGGAUGAUAGGAGCUUUUUUCACCACAGCCUAGGAUGCCUUUGAGAAAACCGACAAAUUUGAAAACAUGAUAAAGGUAACAUCUCUCUACUUCCCCCUGGAUUCAGCCCCUCUACUCUGCCAACAUUGCUCUCACCAGGGUACCCAGUGACCUCCAAGUUGCCCACUGUGGGAGCACUCCUGAGUCCUCAUCUUACUGGAACGCUCCUCACGACCAUCAGGGAAUCUUCUGCUGCCCAUGAAAGGAAGCCCAACUCGAAUUGCUGCAAGCAGAACUGACUCAAGUCUUCCCUACUUUGGUGAAUGUUUGAAGCCUAGAGAAACAUAUUCCAUCAAGAAAGAAUAAUAAUUAAUAGAACAUGUUUGUAUACUCUAUAAAUUUUAUACAAAUUACAACAUUUCAGUUACCAUCAUUAUAAAUUUGAUAUACUGUUUAAUUUAUACCAUGUUAUCUUUAAUGUUUCUAUAUAUUUGGUGUAAUCUGUGCCAUAUUACUCUAUAAUUAGUAUAUUAAAAUGUAGUAGACUAUAGCUCUCUAUUAUAUUAGGAGAAUGCUACAUGUGUAACCAAAGAGAAUCUUAAUAUGUAUAGGAGUAUUCAUUAGAUAUGUAGAUAAUUUUUAUAUAUUAAUGAUACCUGCAAAUUUGUCUAGAUAAUACAGUAACUGUGACAAUAAGUAGUUUUUUUUAAGGGUUUAGAAAGUUAAAUAAUCAGACAAUGCAACAAUUUUUCCAGAAUGAUCUUAGAAAACUCCUUUGAGGUCAGCUAACAUGACAUCAAAAUUCAGUGUGCAUAACAGUUUGUUACUGAAAUACUUUGUCAGAAAAGGCUUUGCAUUAAAAAAAAAAUUGACGUAUUGAUUUCUUUUUACAGACGGGGUAUUGCUAUAUUGCCCAGGCCGGA
This 1012-nucleotide long non-coding RNA is filed under the name Homo sapiens (human). RNAcentral describes it as "HSALNT0327541". The record is from RNAcentral. Lineage: Eukaryota; Metazoa; Chordata; Mammalia; Primates; Hominidae.